This 390-nucleotide ribosomal RNA is filed under the name uncultured bacterium. RNAcentral's name for it is "bacterial SSU rRNA". It matches the Rfam family "Bacterial small subunit ribosomal RNA", at positions 28 to 412 of the family's 1533-position model. The record is from RNAcentral.
GACGAACGCUGGCGGCGUGCUUAACACAUGCAAGUGGAGCGACGAACCGGGGCUUGCCCCGGGGCAGAGCCGCGAACGGGUGAGUAACACGUGGGUAACCUGCCUCAAUGAUUGGGACAACCCGGGGAAACUCGGGCUAAUACCAAAUGUGUUCACUCCUUCUAAGGGGAGUGAGGAAAGGAAGCUUCGGCCUCCGCAUUGAGAUGGGCCCGCGGCCCAUUAGCUUGUUGGUGAGGUAACGGCUCACCAAGGCUUCGAUGGGUAGCUGGUCUGAGAGGACGAUCAGCCACACUGGGACUGAGACACGGCCCAGACUCCUACGGGAGGCAGCAGUGGGAAUCUUGCACAAUGCGCGAAAGCGUGAUGCAGCAACGCCGCGUGGGGGAAGAC